AUUUAUUAGUUUAAUUAAAACAUUACAUUUUCAUUGUAAAAAUAUUAAAAAUUUACUAUAAAUA
Molecule: transfer RNA, 64 nt
Filed under: Oegoconia novimundi
Lineage: Eukaryota; Metazoa; Arthropoda; Insecta; Lepidoptera; Autostichidae
Description: tRNA-Glu
Source: RNAcentral